UUUUUUGUUUUGUGUUCAUGUGUCUUUUACUCUUCCAUGUGUUGAUACUUGAAGUAUAUGAUAUAUAUUGUAUUGAUAUUUCAAAUAUAGAGAAUCAGUGGAACUGUCCCACAGUGUACACAUGAAAACGAUGAUGAUCAAUUUCCUGAACGAACUGUUGUAUAUGGUGCAAGCACAAAAGGAAGUUGUUCAUCUACCCCUACCGAUAAUGAGAUCUACAAUGAGUUAUUGGCUCCUUUUGAACAAUUAUAUACUAAAAUGUUA
Molecule: long non-coding RNA, 264 nt
Filed under: Lathyrus oleraceus (garden pea)
Lineage: Eukaryota; Viridiplantae; Streptophyta; Magnoliopsida; Fabales; Fabaceae
Description: Pisum sativum (pea) long non-coding RNA (PSAT_LNC022888)
Source: RNAcentral